GAGUCUCAACAGCAGCUGAGCUGGAGCAGCAAACAUGCUGCUGCUGGCAGCUCUAACGGUCACAACUGCAUGGUCAUAUGGAUUUGCACAGGAAACUCCCAUACAGAGCCCUGUAUCCAUCACCAUGUCACGAGGAAAUACAGAUCUGAAGUGUCAUUUUAAAGACUUCUCUGGAAAUUUUGAUAACACCGUCAUACAUUGGUAUCAACAGAAGGAGAAUAAAGCUCCAGUGAGGAUGAUCUACUUUUCAUCAGGGUCAGUAGCGGUAGAUGAGAGCUUCCAAAGGCACAGAUACACGAUUCAAACUAUUUCUAGACAGAAGCUUUGCACUCUUACAAUAAGAAAUGUAAUUCCGGAUGAUGCUGCUACUUACUACUGUGCCUACUGGGACCCUCACUAUGGCAGAUGCCAAACAAUCACCUCUGCAAAUACUUUCUCGGCAGCUCUCCUGUAAAUGAUAUGAAAGGUAACAAAUCCGCUCCCAUGGUUUGGAUGAGCUGCUCAGCCAGAAGCAGUUCUGUCUAAAUCUCUCUGAGGAUUUGGAGAUCUGCUUCUCUGAAAUGAAGGAUUCUGAAGCUAUCUGCAAAGACCAUGUUGAUCAUUUCUUCAGUGACAAGUCUAUUUGGUGAUAAUCUUAACCUGGAAAUCUGUAUGGUUGGAAAGAAUCUGCCCAGUACACGUGUCUUCUGCAACAGAUAGCACAAAGUUUGAUUUGUAAUUAUGCCGACCAGGAGACUUGCUGUGGUGGGAAUCUUCAGGACAAAACACACACUGUAGCUGUCACUUAGACAUUGGUUGUGUGAGAUCCCAUCACUAUCAUGCGCCAUUCGUAUUCAUCUAGAAUCAGGUACCCGGCAGAUUUCUGCUCUGAAGUCAAAAGAAUAGCAAUGGACUGAUACACAUUUCAUCGGUCCCAGCAGAUUUUGGCCACAGGGUUUUAGUCUCAUGUUCUCUCCAUACAGUCCCCACAACAAAUGUGAUUGUAACGAACUGAGGUUGCCCGCUCAGGAGACUGUCCUGAAGUGCCGCUGCAAGGAGUGACUGUGUGCGUGCAUCUCUCCCUCUACUUGUUGAAGUCUAUUCCGUCCUUCUC
This is a non-coding RNA of Gallus gallus (chicken), 1093 nucleotides long. The record is from the annotation of a RefSeq genome assembly. Lineage: Eukaryota; Metazoa; Chordata; Aves; Galliformes; Phasianidae.